CUGGCGGCGCGCCUAACACAUGCAAGUCGAACGGACUUAGAGAGCUUGCUCUUAAGUUAGUGGCGGACGGGUGAGUAACACGUGAGCAACCUGCCUUUCAGAGGGGGACAACAGUUGGAAACGACUGCUAAUACCGCAUAAGACCACGGGAUGGCAUCAUUCUGCGGUCAAAGAUUUAUCGCUGAAAGAUGGGCUCGCGUCCGAUUAGAUAGUUGGUGAGGUAACGGCCCACCAAGUCGACGAUCGGUAGCCGGACUGAGAGGUUGAACGGCCACAUUGGGACUGAGACACGGCCCAGACUCCUACGGGAGGCAGCAGUGGGGGAUAUUGGACAAUGGGGGGCCAACCCUGAUCCAGCGACGCCGCGUGAGGGAAGAAGGUUUUCGGAUUGUAAACCUCUGUUGACAGGGAAGAAAAUGACGGUACCUGUUUAGAAAGCCACGGCUAACUACGUGCCAGCCGCAGC
Molecule: ribosomal RNA, 466 nt
Filed under: uncultured bacterium
Lineage: Bacteria
Description: bacterial SSU rRNA
Rfam family: Bacterial small subunit ribosomal RNA
Source: RNAcentral